RNAcentral lists this ribosomal RNA (497 nucleotides) under uncultured bacterium. RNAcentral's name for it is "partial 16S ribosomal RNA". It matches the Rfam family "Bacterial small subunit ribosomal RNA", at positions 28 to 507 of the family's 1533-position model. The record is from RNAcentral.
GAUGAACGCUGGCGGCGUGCCUAAUACAUGCAAGUCGAGCGAACGGACGAGAAGCUUGCUCUCUUGCUGUUAGCGGCGGACGGGCGAGUAACACGUGGAUAACCUACUUAUAAGACUGGGAUAACUUCGGGAAACAGGAGCUAAUACCGGAUAAUAUUUUGAACCGCAGGGUUCAAAAGUGAAAGACGGUCUUCCUGUCACUUAUAGACGGAUCCGCGCUGCAUUAGCUAGUUGGUAAGGUAACGGCUUACCAAGGCAACGAUGCAUAGCCGACCUGAGAGGGUGAUCAGCCACACUGGAACUGAGACACGGUCCAGACUCCUACGGGAGGCAGCAGUAGGGAAUCUUCCGCAAUGGGCGAAAGCCUGACGGAGCAACGCCGCGUGGGUGAUGAAGGUCUUCGGAUCGUAAAACUCUGUUAUUAGGGAAGAACAUAUGUGUAAGUAACUGUGCACGUCUUGACGGUACCUAAUCAGAAAGCCACGGCUAACUACGUG